This 253-nucleotide ribosomal RNA is filed under the name uncultured bacterium. RNAcentral describes it as "partial 16S ribosomal RNA". It matches the Rfam family "Bacterial small subunit ribosomal RNA", at positions 524 to 776 of the family's 1533-position model. The record is from RNAcentral.
UACGGGGGGGGCAAGCGUUGUUCGGAAUUACUGGGCGUAAAGGGCUCGUAGGUGGCCAACUAAGUCAGACGUGAAAUCCCCGGGCUCAACCCGGGAACUGCGUCCGAUACUGGCAGGCUUGAAUCCGGGAGAGGGAUGUGGAAUUCCAGGUGUAGCGGUGAAAUGCGUAGAUAUCUGGAGGAACACCGGUGGCGAAGGCGGCAUCCUGGACCGGUAUUGACGCUGAGGCGCGAAAGCCAGGGGAGCAAACGGG